This 750-nucleotide ribosomal RNA is filed under the name uncultured Halomonas sp. Its description in RNAcentral is "bacterial SSU rRNA". It matches the Rfam family "Bacterial small subunit ribosomal RNA", at positions 131 to 876 of the family's 1533-position model. The record is from RNAcentral. Lineage: Bacteria; Pseudomonadati; Pseudomonadota; Gammaproteobacteria; Oceanospirillales; Halomonadaceae.
CGGUAGUGGGGGAUAACGUGGGGAAACCCACGCUAAUACCGCAUACGUCCUACGGGAGAAAGCAGGGGAUCUUCGGACCUUGCGCUAUCGGAUGAGCCUAUGUCGGAUUAGCUAGUUGGUAAGGUAACGGCUUACCAAGGCGACGAUCCGUAGCUGGUCUGAGAGGAUGAUCAGCCACACUGGGACUGAGACACGGCCCAGACUCCUACGGGAGGCAGCAGUGGGGAAUAUUGGACAAUGGGCGAAAGCCUGAUCCAGCCAUGCCGCGUGUGUGAAGAAGGCUUUCGGGUUGUAAAGCACUUUCAGCGAGGAAGAAAGCCUCUGGGUUAAUACCCCAGAGGAAGGACAUCACUCGCAGAAGAAGCACCGGCUAACUCCGUGCCAGCAGCCGCGGUAAUACGGAGGGUGCGAGCGUUAAUCGGAAUUACUGGGCGUAAAGCGCGCGUAGGUGGCUUGGCACGCCGGUUGUGAAAGCCCCGGGCUCAACCUGGGAACGGCAUCCGGAACGGCCAGGCUAGAGUGCAGGAGAGGAAGGUAGAAUUCCCGGUGUAGCGGUGAAAUGCGUAGAGAUCGGGAGGAAUACCAGUGGCGAAGGCGGCCUUCUGGCCUGACACUGACACUGAGGUGCGAAAGCGUGGGUAGCAAACAGGAUUAGAUACCCUGGUAGUCCACGCCGUAAACGAUGUCGACUAGCCGUUGGGACCUUUAAGGACUUAGUGGCGCAGUUAACGCGAUAAGUCGACCGCCUGG